CCUACGGGAGGCAGCAGUGAGGAAUAUUGGUCAAUGGACGAGAGUCUGAACCAGCCAAGUAGCGUGAAGGAUGACUGCCCUAUGGGUUGUAAACUUCUUUUAUAUGGGAAUAAAACGUUCCACGUGUGGGAUUUUGUAUGUACCAUAUGAAUAAGGAUCGGCUAACUCCGUGCCAGCAGCCGCGGUAAUACGGAGGAUCCGAGCGUUAUCCGGAUUUAUUGGGUUUAAAGGGAGCGUAGGUGGCUUGUUAAGUCAGUUGUGAAAGUUUGCGGCUCAACCGUAAAAUUGCAGUUGAAACUGGCAGUCUUGAGUACAGUAGAGGUGGGCGGAAUGCGUGGUGUAGCGGUGAAAUGCUUAGAUAUCACGCAGAACUCCGAUUGCGAAGGCAGUUCACUGGACUGCAACUGACACUGAGGCUCGAAAGUGUGGGUAUCAAACAGGAUUAGAUACCCGGGUAGUC
Molecule: ribosomal RNA, 460 nt
Filed under: uncultured bacterium
Lineage: Bacteria
Description: partial 16S ribosomal RNA
Rfam family: Bacterial small subunit ribosomal RNA
Source: RNAcentral